GCGGGUAUAGCUCAGUUGGUAGAGCAUAACCUUGCCAAGGUUGGGGUCGCGAGUUCGAGUCUCGUUUCCCGCUCCA
Molecule: transfer RNA, 76 nt
Filed under: Acinetobacter baumannii 24860_6
Lineage: Bacteria; Pseudomonadati; Pseudomonadota; Gammaproteobacteria; Moraxellales; Moraxellaceae
Also listed under: 1 other name
Description: tRNA-Gly
Rfam family: tRNA
About the family: Transfer RNA (tRNA) molecules are approximately 80 nucleotides in length.
Source: RNAcentral